CGAUAUCGCAAGACAUCUGAUGAAUAGAAUCCUCUGGAAAGUGGAACCAUAGACGGUGAUAGUCCUGUAUAUGAAGUCAGAUUAAGCGUAGUGGUAUCCUGAGUAGCGCGGGACACGAGAAAUCUUGCGUGAAUCUGCCGGGACCAUCCGGUAAGGCUAAAUACUCCCGAGAGACCGAUAGCGAACCAGUACUGUGAAGGAAAGGUGAAAAGCACUUCGAACAGAAGAGUGAAAUAGUCCCUGAAACCGUGCGCCUACAAGCGGUCGGAGCUGCGUAAGCAGUGACGGCGUGCCUUUUGCAUAAUGAACCUACGAGUUACUUUUUCCGGCAAGGUUAAGCAUCUUGAGAUGCGCAGCCGAAGCGAAAGC
This 369-nucleotide ribosomal RNA is filed under the name Salmonella enterica subsp. enterica serovar Enteritidis. Its description in RNAcentral is "partial 23S ribosomal RNA". It matches the Rfam family "Bacterial large subunit ribosomal RNA", at positions 309 to 678 of the family's 2925-position model. Lineage: Bacteria; Pseudomonadati; Pseudomonadota; Gammaproteobacteria; Enterobacterales; Enterobacteriaceae. The record is from RNAcentral.